CUUUAACUCGCGUCCAGCUGGUUAAUGUGUCACCCACGUUAAAUAGUACGCCUAACAUCUGGAUCGUGCUCAGUUUAGUUCAUGUUUACAGAAUGUUUGUAGAUUAUACAAAUAGUGAGGUAAUAGUGCAUCGUUUCAGUCUUUGUUUAGGAAUGUGACUGGUCACAUGAUUAAAGUCAUAUGACUGAUGAGCCCACGAAAGAGGGAAUGAGAGCAGAAAUCUUCGACAGUUCCCAAUAAUACACUAAUACUGUCGUCUGUCGUGAUGAAUUCAGAUGGAUAGACAGAUGUGGCGACUCCUGAAGUAAACCGCUGGAUCAUGGAGCGUUUGGGAGUUUUGUCUGUUCUCGCCACCGCUUGUGUUUUUGGAGUGGUGAUGAGUCAGACAACACUCAGUCCUGCUGUGACGGUCACCAGAGUCAGUGCAAGCAUGAGCACUACAGGGCCCAGCUGCUCCGGCCUCAACACCUCCACCUGCAUGGCCUGCGCUCCUGGCUCUUAUUAUGAUAACCAAACUCUGUUGUGUUCCUGCUGUCCCGAGGCAGGCCUGUGUGUGUUACCUGGAGCCUGUCUUCUGUGCGUCCAGGGUUUCUAUCAGCCUCUAGCAGCACAGCAGGGCUGUCUGCCCUGUUCAUCUGGCUUUUACAGCAAUUCCACUGGAAGCCCUGUCUGCCAGCCGUGCCCUACUGGGUCCUACAGCAAUAACACAGGCUCUGCUUCCUGUACAGCAUGUGCACCAGGUUUCUACACAUCUUUGCAAAAUUCAACAUCCUGUAACCCAUGUCCACAAGCCACGUACUGCAAUUCCUCCAGCUGUACUCAGUGCCGGGUCUGUCCUGCAGGCUCAGAGGCUCUACAGACCGCUUCCAAACAAUGUACACCUUGUCGCCCAGGAAUGCACAAGCCUUCCCAACAAACCAUGUGUCAGAUUUGCAGCAGUGGUUUUUAUCAGAUCCACUGGGGCCAAGAGAACUGUGACCUGUGUCCUGAAAACCACUACUGCCCUAGUCCUGAUGUAAAUCCGAUCCAGUGUCCCACUGAUGCGUUCUGUCCUGAGGGCAGCACGGCCCCUGGUUACUGCAUGGAGACCUUCUUCAGAAAGGCAGGGGAGACGUGUGAACUCGCUCCUGUUACCAUUGCACUGCUUGUUAUUGGAGGAGGAGUGGGUCUUCUCUUCAUCAUCGUUUUGGUUCUGCGGAAGAGAAGAGAUAAUGACAGCGAGCUUUCCCUUGCUCGGACGCCCCUCCUGCGAAAAGACCGCACACCUGGCCGCUUCUAUGGAGUCCCUUGUGAUGCAGAGCCUGUUUAUGCAGGCUGGUGACAUUACCAAGUACACUGACCCGUUUUCAGCUGCACAAAUUUUGUCUGAAAGUUUCUAUUUAGAAUUUCGAACUGUUCUAAGCUUUAUAUUGGUAAGAUACUAUUAAAUAUUUAAUGAAUGAAGAGGCACUUAUUCCAUUUUUAAAACCUGUUUACUACUGACCAUGUUGUGGAGUUACGUCUCUUUUGAUUCUGACUGCUUUUGGAGUCUGGAAAGUAUGAGAAACCAUUCAGUAUUUUGUUUUCUUUUGUAUAAAUUUUGCACCGGAUAUUAUGUUAAGCCAUGGCACUGAAAGAAUUUUGGAGUAAGUUGCUGGAUUAUGCUUAUUUUGUUCACAGAUGUGUGUUUACUUUUUUUUUUGGUACCACUAUGUUUGUUUACCUAGGGUCCUCAAGGUAUAUUGUAUUAUAUACAUUUGCAGUAUUUCUUGUAUUUAACAUGUGAUGUCACAUAUUACUUUUAAAACAAAAUAUUUUGGACAUUUUCCAAGGUUGUAAACUGGAG
Molecule: long non-coding RNA, 1825 nt
Organism: Sinocyclocheilus anshuiensis
Lineage: Eukaryota; Metazoa; Chordata; Actinopteri; Cypriniformes; Cyprinidae
Product: tumor necrosis factor receptor superfamily member 9-like
Source: Ensembl